UGAACUUGUUGUCUAGGGAUAA
RNAcentral lists this non-coding RNA (22 nucleotides) under Arabidopsis thaliana (thale cress). Lineage: Eukaryota; Viridiplantae; Streptophyta; Magnoliopsida; Brassicales; Brassicaceae. The record is from RNAcentral.